GGGGUUGUGGCUCAGCGGUAGAGCACUCGCCUAGCACAUGUGAGCCAGUGGGUUUGAUCCUCAGCACCA
Molecule: transfer RNA, 69 nt
Filed under: Marmota monax (woodchuck)
Lineage: Eukaryota; Metazoa; Chordata; Mammalia; Rodentia; Sciuridae
Description: tRNA.Ala
Source: RNAcentral